Molecule: non-coding RNA, 114 nt
Organism: Acanthosepion pharaonis
Lineage: Eukaryota; Metazoa; Mollusca; Cephalopoda; Sepiida; Sepiidae
Source: the annotation of a GenBank genome assembly
UUACGGCCACAUCACGUUGAAACAUCGGUUACCGCACGAUCACCGAAGUUAAGCAACGUCGAGCCUGGCUAGUAUAUAGAUGGCUGACCGCUUGGUAAUACCAGGUGCUGUCAG